This 545-nucleotide long non-coding RNA is filed under the name Homo sapiens (human). RNAcentral describes it as "HSALNT0295738". Lineage: Eukaryota; Metazoa; Chordata; Mammalia; Primates; Hominidae. The record is from RNAcentral.
UCUAAAAUGAGAUUCUAAACUGGAAAUACCUGUUGGCCGCUGGCAGGGAGGGCCACUGGCAGUAGGUGGAGCAUGGAGAUUCCCCAGCAAGGUUAAUUCCCAUCAGAUAACAUCCACCACAGAAAAGGUACCAACCAAGCAGAUGGAAUGACUUAGCCAAAUAAUGUUAACCAGGCUUUGUUGCUGGCACCCCAAUGCUGGCAAAGUGAUCAAUGAACGGAGGAGCCAUGGUGGAGCAAAUGCAAGGGUUCAACGUCAUGGACUCAUCAAGUCUGAUCUAACUACUGCAUCAGUGAAUGUCCAGCUUGCCAGCAACAGAGACCAACACUUAGCCUGAUGUCACCAUUCCUCAAGGAAACCGUCUAGCCACUUGGUGGUGUUGAUGCAGAUAACUCCUCCCAAUAAACUUCCUGCAUGUGAAUCUCCAACACAGAGUGUUUUUGCCAAGAACUCAACCUAUGGCAGCAGCAAACCUCUGUGACUCAAGGAAAUCUCAGUUGGAUGUCCUGUCUCAUCUACUCAAGACCAGUAAGCAACACUUACUU